This 264-nucleotide ribosomal RNA is filed under the name uncultured bacterium. Its description in RNAcentral is "partial 16S ribosomal RNA". It matches the Rfam family "Bacterial small subunit ribosomal RNA", at positions 28 to 283 of the family's 1533-position model. The record is from RNAcentral.
GAUGAACGCUAGCGGCAGGCCUAAUACAUGCAAGUCGGACGGGAUCUAGAUCUAAGCUUGCUUAGAUUUAGUGAGAGUGGCGCACGGGUGCGUAACGCGUGAGCAACCUACCCAUAUCAGGGGGAGUAGCCCGGACGAAAUACCGGAUUAACACCGCAUGACACAACGACUCGGCAUCGAGAUGUUGUUAAAUAUUAUAGGAUAUGGAUGGCUCGCGGACAUUAGCUAGUUGGUAAGGUAGCGGCUUACCAAGGCUACGAUGUC